Molecule: ribosomal RNA, 57 nt
Filed under: Phoma sp. Fanqin15
Lineage: Eukaryota; Fungi; Ascomycota; Dothideomycetes; Pleosporales; Didymellaceae
Description: partial 28S ribosomal RNA
Source: RNAcentral
GACCUCGGAUCAGGUAGGGAUACCCGCUGAACUUAAGCAUAUCAAAAGGCGGAGGAA